This 500-nucleotide ribosomal RNA is filed under the name uncultured bacterium. Its description in RNAcentral is "partial 16S ribosomal RNA". It matches the Rfam family "Bacterial small subunit ribosomal RNA", at positions 29 to 523 of the family's 1533-position model. The record is from RNAcentral.
AUUGAACGCUGGCGGAAUGCUUUACACAUGCAAGUCGAACGGCAGCACGGGGGCAACCCUGGUGGCGAGUGGCGAACGGGUGAGUAAUACAUCGGAACGUGCCCAGUCGUGGGGGAUAACGUAGCGAAAGCUACGCUAAUACCGCACACGAUCUACGGAUGAAAGCGGGGGAUCGCAAGACCUCGCGCGAUUGGAGCGGCCGAUGGCAGAUUAGGUAGUUGGUGAGGUAAAGGCUCACCAAGCCGACGAUCUGUAGCUGGUCUGAGAGGACGACCAGCCACACUGGGACUGGGACACGGCCCAGACUCCUACGGGAGGCAGCAGUGGGGAAUUUUGGACAAUGGGCGCAAGCCUGAUCCAGCCAUUCCGCGUGCAGGAUGAAGGCCCUCGGGUUGUAAACUGCUUUUGUACGGAACGAAACGGCUCUCUCUAAUACAGGGGGCUAAUGACGGUACCGUAAGAAUAAGCACCGGCUAACUACGUGCCAGCCGCCGCCGUAA